CGUAGGGGCAAGCGUUAUCCGGAUUUACUGGGUGUAAAGGGUGCGUAGGUGGUAUGGUAAGUUGGAUGUGAAAGCCCAAGGCUCAACCUUGGGAUUGCAUCUAAAAACUGCCAAACUAGAGUGCAGGAGAGGAAAGCGGAAUUCCUAGUGUAGCGGUGAAAUGCGUAGAUAUUAGGAGGAACACCAGUAGCGAAGGCGGCUUUCUGGACUGUAACUGACACUGAGGCACGAAAGCGUGGGUAGCAAACAGGAUU
RNAcentral lists this ribosomal RNA (254 nucleotides) under uncultured bacterium. Its description in RNAcentral is "partial 16S ribosomal RNA". It matches the Rfam family "Bacterial small subunit ribosomal RNA", at positions 526 to 779 of the family's 1533-position model. The record is from RNAcentral.